CAGCGGACGACGCGAUCCAUUAUGUUAAUAUCGUAACGGUAUUAUACAUGUAUAGUGUUAUAAAAUGUUAUGUUCAGAUACAGUUAACAAUAUUAUUUCCGAAUUGAUUUCUACGCCUGGGUGCCGAAUAAUUUUUCGGGAAAAGUGUAAAACAACACUGUUUUUACGAAACUCGAGUAUUAUAUCCGCGUACAGUAUAUCGCGAAAACUACAACGACGGUUCGUCGACUUGGAAUAGAAAAAAAAAAUAAACAAACUCGAAGUGACUGAUUUACGCGAGAAAAUCGAUCGUUUGACGCAUCCGCGAGGUCGCAGUAAAUACAUAAUAGUAUAAUCCGUCGUCGAUUUUUUUUUUUUUAACUAUGUUCGUACUACGUACAUAAAAAAAAAAAAUAUGUAUUAAAUUAACAAGUAUACUGUAAUAUUAAAAUUAUUGUGUAACGAAUUUCUAAAGAGAAACACGCGGUCAACGAAUAUUAUUAUUAAGCUGUAGAUUUAGAUUCCCCGUGAAGUUUAUUCGCG
This is a non-coding RNA of Cinara cedri, 522 nucleotides long. Lineage: Eukaryota; Metazoa; Arthropoda; Insecta; Hemiptera; Aphididae. The record is from the annotation of a GenBank genome assembly.